AUUGAACGCUGGCGGCAGGCUUAACACAUGCAAGUCGAGCGGAGAGAGGUAGCUUGCUACUGAUCUUAGCGGCGGACGGGUGAGUAAUGCUUAGGAAUCUGCCUAUUAGUGGGGGACAACAUUUCGAAAGGAAUGCUAAUACCGCAUACGUCCUAUGGGAGAAAGCAGGGGAUCUUCGGACCUUGCGCUAAUAGAUGAGCCUAAGUCGGAUUAGCUAGUUGGUGGGGUAAAGGCCUACCAAGGCGACGAUCUGUAGCGGGUCUGAGAGGAUGAUCCGCCACACUGGGACUGAGACACGGCCCAGACUCCUACGGGAGGCAGCAGUGGGGAAUAUUGGACAAUGGGCGCAAGCCUGAUCCAGCCAUGCCGCGUGUGUGAAGAAGGCCUUAUGGUUGUAAAGCACUUUAAGCGAGGAGGAGGCUACUUUAGUUAAUACCUAGAGAUAGUGGACGUUACUCGCAGAAUAAGCACCGGUUAACUCUGUGCCAGCAGCCGCAGUAA
Molecule: ribosomal RNA, 501 nt
Filed under: uncultured bacterium
Lineage: Bacteria
Description: partial 16S ribosomal RNA
Rfam family: Bacterial small subunit ribosomal RNA
Source: RNAcentral